Molecule: ribosomal RNA, 781 nt
Filed under: uncultured bacterium
Lineage: Bacteria
Description: bacterial SSU rRNA
Rfam family: Bacterial small subunit ribosomal RNA
Source: RNAcentral
UAACACAUGCAAGUCGAACGAGAGAGAAGGAGCUUGCUUCUUCGAUCGAGUGGCGAACGGGUGAGUAACGCGUGAGGAACCUGCCUCAAAGAGGGGGACAACAGUUGGAAACGACUGCUAAUACCGCAUAAGCCCACGGGUCGGCAUCGACCUGAGGGAAAAGGAGCAAUCCGCUUUGAGAUGGCCUCGCGUCCGAUUAGCUAGUUGGUGAGGUAAUGGCCCACCAAGGCGACGAUCGGUAGCCGGACUGAGAGGUUGAACGGCCACAUUGGGACUGAGACACGGCCCAGACUCCUACGGGAGGCAGCGGUGGGGAAUAUUGCACAAUGGGGGAAACCCUGAUGCAGCGACGCCGCGUGGAGGAAGAAGGUCUUCGGAUUGUAAACUCCUGUUGUUGAGGAAGAUAAUGACGGUACUCAACAAGGAAGUGACGGCUAACUACGUGCCAGCAGCCGCGGUAAAACGUAGGUCACAAGCGUUGUCCGGAAUUACUGGGUGUAAAGGGAGCGCAGGCGGGAAGACAAGUUGGAAGUGAAAUCUAUGGGCUCAACCCAUAAACUGCUUUCAAAACUGUUUUUCUUGAGUAGUGCAGAGGUAGGCGGAAUUCCCGGUGUAGCGGUGGAAUGCGUAGAUAUCGGGAGGAACACCAGUGGCGAAGGCGGCCUACUGGGCACCAACUGACGCUGAGGCUCGAAAGUGUGGGUAGCAAACAGGAUUAGAUACCCUGGUAGUCCACACCGUAAACGAUGAUUACUAGGUGUUGGAGGAUUGACCCCUUCAG